This 73-nucleotide transfer RNA is filed under the name Candidatus Woesearchaeota archaeon. Its description in RNAcentral is "tRNA-Val". Lineage: Archaea; Nanobdellati; Candidatus Woesearchaeota. The record is from RNAcentral.
GGGCCCGUGGUCUAGUCUGGUAUGACAACUCGUUUACACCGAGUAGAUCACCAGUUCAAAACGAUUGGUUACA